This 466-nucleotide ribosomal RNA is filed under the name uncultured bacterium. RNAcentral's name for it is "partial 16S ribosomal RNA". It matches the Rfam family "Bacterial small subunit ribosomal RNA", at positions 28 to 507 of the family's 1533-position model. The record is from RNAcentral.
GAUGAACGCUGGCGGCGUGCUUAACACAUGCAAGUCGAACGAUGAAGCCCAGCUUGCUGGGUGGAUUAGUGGCGAACGGGUGAGUAACACGUGAGUAACCUGCCCUUAACUCUGGGAUAAGCCUGGGAAACUGGGUCUAAUACCGGAUAGGAGCGUCCACCGCAUGGUGGGUGUUGGAAAGAUUUAUCGGUUUUGGAUGGACUCGCGGCCUAUCAGCUUGUUGGUGAGGUAGUGGCUCACCAAGGCGACGACGGGUAGCCGUCCUGAGAGGGGGACCGGCCACACUGGGACUGAGACACGGCCCAGACUCCUACGGGAGGCAGCAGUGGGGAAUCUUGCACAAUGGGCGCAAGCCUGAUGCAGCGACGCCGCGUGAGGGAUGACGGCCUUCGGGUUAUAAACCUCUUUCAGUAGGGAAGAAGCGAAAGUGACGGUACCUGCAGAAGAAGCACCGGCUAACUACGUG